GAUGAAGAACGUAGUGAAAUGCGAUAAGUAAUGUGAAUUGCAGAAUUCAGUGAAUCAUCAAAUCUUUGAACGCACAUUGCGCUCCUUGGUAUUCCGGGGAGCAUGCCUGUUCGAGCGUCAUUAUAACCCUUCAAGCUCAGCUUGGUGUUGGGGCCUGCUGUAACUGGUAGCCCUUAAAAUCAGUGGCAGUGCUAUUAGGCUCUAAGCGUAGUAAUUCUUCUCGCUAUAGUGUGUAGUGAGCGCUUGCCAGAACCCCAAACUUUUAUAUGAUUGACCUCGGAUCAGGUAGGGAUACCCGCUGAACUUAAGCAUAUCAAUAAGCGGAGGA
This 328-nucleotide unclassified non-coding RNA is filed under the name soil metagenome. RNAcentral's name for it is "partial contains 5.8S ribosomal RNA, internal transcribed spacer 2, and large subunit ribosomal RNA". The stretch from base 1 to 120 matches the Rfam family "5.8S ribosomal RNA", at positions 35 to 154 of the family's 154-position model. The record is from RNAcentral.